GGGUUGGUAGACGUGAAUGGAUUGGGGGUGUAUAGGUGGGUGCUGAUGAAAAGGCGGGGGUGAGCUAUGUAGGUGGGUGCGUGUUUGGUUGCUGUGGGGCUGUGUACCCUACAGAGGGAAGUGCCCGCUGCUCCCUGGUUUGCUUGUGAGCAGGUGAAUUCAUAUUCCACAAUUCGCAUCCACUCGCUCGCAAGAAUCUUCCGGGACGCGCACACGGGAUUCACCACGGAGUGCGUCGUCUCAAACAGAGGUGAAGAUGGAGAGGAAAAGGAGAUUUCUCCAUGGAGCUGCAGACGCAGAGGACACGGACUCGCGUUUAUGAUGAUGUCAUGGGUUGGCCAAUGCUAAGGCGAUGGAGCUGCUGACGGAUGUGCUGUGGAGGCAAGACGAGGACUUGGGCGCGAACCGAGACCUGUUCCACGGGGGCCCCAAACCCCGCUCCCCCCUCCCGCUCCGCAAGCGCCCUCCCGUCGUGGGGGGGGCCGCAGUGCCGCGGGCUCUCACCGGCGGUCCCUGCCCUGGUGGGCCCUGCCCCGGUGGGCCCUGCCCCUUCUACUGCAUCGGGCCGUGCCCCUGCGCCUGCCACUGCCCUGGGCCCCGCAGUGAGA
Petromyzon marinus (sea lamprey) is the source of this 608-nucleotide non-coding RNA. Lineage: Eukaryota; Metazoa; Chordata; Hyperoartia; Petromyzontiformes; Petromyzontidae. The record is from RefSeq and is a predicted model, not a curated record.